Molecule: transfer RNA, 75 nt
Filed under: Glutamicibacter halophytocola
Lineage: Bacteria; Bacillati; Actinomycetota; Actinomycetes; Micrococcales; Micrococcaceae
Description: tRNA-Gln
Rfam family: tRNA
About the family: Transfer RNA (tRNA) molecules are approximately 80 nucleotides in length. Their secondary structure includes four short double-helical elements and three loops (D, anti-codon, and T loops).
Source: RNAcentral
UCCGCCCUGGUGUAAUGGCAACACUCCAGCCUUUGGAGCUGUGUAUUCUAGGUUCGAAUCCUAGGGGCGGAACUA